GACGGGGGGAGCAAGCGUUGUUCGGAUUUACUGGGCGUAAAGGGCGUCUAGGCGGGCUUUCAAGUCGAGUGUGAAACCCCACGGCUCAACCGUGGAUCUGCACUUGAUACUGUUGGCCUUGAGUACGGAAGAGGAAAGCGGAAUUCCAGGUGUAGCGGUGAAAUGCGUAGAUAUCUGGAAGAACACCGGUGGCGAAGGCGGCUUUCUGGUCCGAUACUGACGCUGAAGCGCGAAAGUGCGGGGAGCAAAC
RNAcentral lists this ribosomal RNA (250 nucleotides) under uncultured bacterium. RNAcentral describes it as "partial 16S ribosomal RNA". It matches the Rfam family "Bacterial small subunit ribosomal RNA", at positions 524 to 773 of the family's 1533-position model. The record is from RNAcentral.